Non-coding RNA from Acanthosepion pharaonis, 108 nucleotides. NCBI's taxonomy places the organism in Eukaryota, Metazoa, Mollusca, Cephalopoda, Sepiida, Sepiidae. The record is from the annotation of a GenBank genome assembly.
AUGGCCAUAUCAUGUUAAAACACAUUCUCAUAUGAUCACUGAAGUUAAGCAAUGUAGAUUCUGGUCAGUACCUAGAUGGGUGACCACUUGGGAAUACCAGGUGCUGUA